Molecule: ribosomal RNA, 596 nt
Filed under: uncultured bacterium
Lineage: Bacteria
Description: bacterial SSU rRNA
Rfam family: Bacterial small subunit ribosomal RNA
Source: RNAcentral
GCUCGUUUGACAGCCUAACACAUGCAAGUCGAACGGCAGCACAGGAGAGCUUGCUCUCUGGGUGGCGAGUGGCGGACGGGUGAGGAAUACAUCGGAAUCUACUCUGUCGUGGGGGAUAACGUAGGGAAACUUACGCUAAUACCGCAUACGACCUACGGGUGAAAGCAGGGUGACCUUCGGGCCUUGCGCGACUGAAUGAGCCGAUGUCGGAUUAGCUAGUUGGCGGGGUAAAGGCCCACCAAGGCGACGAUCCGUAGCUGGUCUGAGAGGAUGAUCAGCCACACUGGAACUGAGACACGGUCCAGACUCCUACGGGAGGCAGCAGUGGGGAAUAUUGGACAAUGGGCGCAAGCCUGAUCCAGCCAUACCGCGUGGGUGAAGAAGGCCUUCGUGUUGUAAAGCCCUUUUGUUGGGAAAGAAAUCCAGCUGGCUAAUACCCGGUUGGGAUGACGGUACCCAAAGAAUAAGCACCGGCUAACUUCGUGCCAGCAGCCGCGGUAAUACGAAGGGUGCAAGCGUUACUCGGAAUUACUGGGCGUAAAGCGUGCGUAGGUAGGUCGUUUAAGUCCGUUGUGAAAGCCCUGGGCUCAACCUGG